Molecule: ribosomal RNA, 401 nt
Filed under: uncultured bacterium
Lineage: Bacteria
Description: bacterial SSU rRNA
Rfam family: Bacterial small subunit ribosomal RNA
Source: RNAcentral
UCGGGAAUUUUGGGCAAUGGGGGAAACCCUGACCCAGCAACGCCGCGUGAAGGAUGAAGUAUUUCGGUAUGUAAACUUCGAAAGAAUAGGAAGAAUAAAUGACGGUACUAAUUUAUAAGGUCCGGCUAACUACGUGCCAGCAGCCGCGGUAAUACGUAGGGACCAAGCGUUGUUCGGAUUUACUGGGCGUAAAGGGCGCGUAGGCGGCAUGACAAGUCACUUGUGAAAUCUCUGGGCUUAACCCAGAACGGCCAAGUGAUACUGUCGCGCUAGAGUGCAGAAGGGGCAAUCGGAAUUCUUGGUGUAGCGGUGAAAUGCGUAGAUAUCAAGAGGAACACCUGAGGUGAAGACGGGUUGCUGGGCUGACACUGACGCUGAGGCGCGAAAGCCAGGGGAGCAAA